GAUGAAGAACGCAGCGAAAUGCGAUAAGUAAUGCGAAUUGCAGAAUUCCAGUGAGUCAUCGAAUCUUUGAACGCACAUUGCGCCCUUUGGUAUUCCGAAGGGCAUGCCUGUUCGAGCGUCAUUAUCACCCCUCAAGCCCUCGGCUUGGUGUUGGACGGUUUGGUGGAGGCCCCCUCGGGGGCUCCUGCCCCUCCCAAAGACAAUGACGGCGGCCUCGUUGGACCCCCGGUACACUGAGUUCUUCACGGGACACGUAUCGGACACAUGGGUUUACGGGACACGGUCUGCCUCCCCUCAGGGAGAAUCUUUCUAAGGUUGACCUCGGAUCAGGUAGGGAUACCCGCUGAACUUAAGCAUAUAAUAAGCGGAGGA
Molecule: unclassified non-coding RNA, 372 nt
Filed under: soil metagenome
Description: partial contains 5.8S ribosomal RNA, internal transcribed spacer 2, and large subunit ribosomal RNA
Rfam family: 5.8S ribosomal RNA (bases 1-121)
Source: RNAcentral